GACUCCACGAAGUUGGAUUCGCUAGUAACCGCGCAUCAGCCAUGGCGCGGUGAAUACGUUCCCGGGCCUUGUACACACCGCCCGUCAAGCCAUGGGAGCCGGGGGCGCCUGAAGUCCGGGACCGCGAGGACCGGCCUAGGGCGAAACUGGUAACUGGGGCUAAGUCGUAACAAGGUAUC
RNAcentral lists this ribosomal RNA (179 nucleotides) under uncultured bacterium. RNAcentral describes it as "partial 16S ribosomal RNA". It matches the Rfam family "Bacterial small subunit ribosomal RNA", at positions 1314 to 1500 of the family's 1533-position model. The record is from RNAcentral.